This 726-nucleotide ribosomal RNA is filed under the name Golovinomyces bolayi. Its description in RNAcentral is "partial 28S ribosomal RNA". It matches the Rfam family "Eukaryotic large subunit ribosomal RNA", at positions 1 to 739 of the family's 3401-position model. Lineage: Eukaryota; Fungi; Ascomycota; Leotiomycetes; Helotiales; Erysiphaceae. The record is from RNAcentral.
UUGACCUCGAAUCAGGUAGGGAUACCCGCUGAACUUAAGCAUAUCAAUAAGCGGAGGAAAAGAAACCAACCGGGAUUACCUCAGUAACGGCGAGUGAAGCGGUAACAGCUCAAAUUUGAAAUCUGGCUCCUGCGGAGUCCGAGUUGUAAUUUGUAGAAGAUGCUUUGGGAGGGAGGCUCGGCCUAAGUUCCUUGGAACAGGACAUCAGAGAGGGUGAGAAUCCCGUAUGUGGCCGUGGCCUCCGCCCGUGUAAAGCUCUUUCGACGAGUCGAGUUGUUUGGGAAUGCAGCUCAAAAUGGGUGGUAAAUUUCAUCUAAAGCUAAAUAUUGGCCAGAGACCGAUAGCGCACAAGUAGAGUGAUCGAAAGAUGAAAAGCACUUUGGAAAGAGAGUUAAACAGUACGUGAAAUUGUUGAAAGGGAAGCGCUUGCACCCAGACUUGGGCGUCGUCGAUCAUCCGAGGUUCUCCUCGGUGCACUCGGCGAGGCACAGGCCAGCAUCGGUUUGGAUGGUUGGAGAAAGGCUCUAGGAACGUAGCUCUCUUCGGGGAGUGUUAUAGCCUAGGGCGUAAUGCAGCCCAUCGGGACCGAGGACCGCGCCUUCGGGCUAGGAUGCUGGCGUAAUGGUUGCAAGCGACCCGUCUUGAAACACGGACCAAGGAGUCUAACAUCUAUGCGAGUGUUUGGGCGUUAAACCCAUACGCGGAAUGAAAGUGAACGUAGGUGAG